GACGUAGGGGGCGAGCGUUGUCCGAAGUUACUGGGCGUAAAGCGCGCGUAGGCGGCCUCUUAAGUUGGGUGUGAAAUCCUGCGGCCCAACCGCAGAACUGCAUCCAAAACUGGGAGGCUUGAGGACGGAAGAGGGCAGUGGAAUUCCUGGUGUAGCGGUGAAAUGCGUAGAUAUCAGGAGGAACACCCGUGGCGAAGGCGGCUGCCUGGUCCGUAUCUGACGCUGAGGUGCGAAAGCCAGGGGAGCGAAAGGG
This 253-nucleotide ribosomal RNA is filed under the name uncultured bacterium. RNAcentral's name for it is "partial 16S ribosomal RNA". It matches the Rfam family "Bacterial small subunit ribosomal RNA", at positions 524 to 776 of the family's 1533-position model. The record is from RNAcentral.